Molecule: ribosomal RNA, 301 nt
Filed under: uncultured bacterium
Lineage: Bacteria
Description: bacterial SSU rRNA
Rfam family: Bacterial small subunit ribosomal RNA
Source: RNAcentral
GUGUCAGCCGCCGCGGUAAUACGUAGGGGGCGAGCGUUAACCGGAAUUAUUGGGCGUAAAGAGUGCGUAGGUGGUUUUUUAAGCGUGGGGUGAAAUGCAAUGGCUCAACCAUUGUAAGCCUUGCGAACUGGAAGACUUGAGUGCAGGAGAGGAAAGCGGAAUUCCUAGUGUAGCGGUGAAAUGCGUAGAUAUUAGGAGGAAUACCAGUGGCGAAGGCGGCUUUCUGGACUGUAACUGACACUGAGGCACGAAAGCGUGGGGGGCAAACAUGAGUAGAUACCCUGGUAUGCCCCGCCGUAAA